RNAcentral lists this ribosomal RNA (426 nucleotides) under uncultured Actinomycetes bacterium. RNAcentral describes it as "bacterial SSU rRNA". It matches the Rfam family "Bacterial small subunit ribosomal RNA", at positions 958 to 1385 of the family's 1533-position model. Lineage: Bacteria; Bacillati; Actinomycetota; Actinomycetes. The record is from RNAcentral.
AACGCGAAGAACCUUACCAAGGUUUGACAUGCAGGGAAAAGCCGUGGAGACACGGUGUCCGUAAGGGCCCUGCACAGGUGGUGCAUGGCUGUCGUCAGCUCGUGUCGUGAGAUGUUGGGUUAAGUCCCGCAACGAGCGCAACCCUCGUCCUAUGUUGCCAGCGGGUAAUGCCGGGGACUCAUAGGAGACUGCCGGGGUCAACUCGGAGGAAGGUGGGGAUGAGGUCAAGUCAUCAUGCCCCUUAUGUCUUGGGCUGCAAACAUGCUACAAUGGCCGGUACAGAGGGCUGCGAGACCGCAAGGUGGAGCGAAUCUCAAAAAGCCGGUCUCAGUUCGGAUUGGGGUCUGCAACUCGACCCCAUGAAGUCGGAGUCGCUAGUAAUCGCGAAUCAGCAACGUCGCGGUGAAUACGUUCCCGGGCCUUGUA